RNAcentral lists this ribosomal RNA (452 nucleotides) under uncultured Desulfitibacter sp. RNAcentral's name for it is "bacterial SSU rRNA". It matches the Rfam family "Bacterial small subunit ribosomal RNA", at positions 929 to 1382 of the family's 1533-position model. The record is from RNAcentral. Lineage: Bacteria; Bacillati; Bacillota; Clostridia; Neomoorellales; Desulfitibacteraceae.
GCAGCGGAGCAUGUGGCUUAAUUCGACGCAACGCGAAGAACCUUACCAGGAUUUGACAUCCCCCUGACCGGUGUAGAGAUACACUUCCCUUCGGGGCAGGGGUGACAGGUGGUGCAUGGUUGUCGUCAGCUCGUGUCGUGAGAUGUUGGGUUAAGUCCCGCAACGAGCGCAACCCCUACCCUUAGUUGCCAGCGGGUCAUGCCGGGCACUCUAAAGGAACUGCCAGCGUAAGCUGGAGGAAGGUGGGGAUGACGUCAAAUCAUCAUGCCCUUUAUGUCCUGGGCUACACACGUGCUACAAUGGUCGGUACAGAGGGCUGCAAAGGAGCGAUCCGGAGCUAAUCCCAAAAAGCCGGCCUCAGUUCGGAUAGAAGGCUGCAACUCGCCUUCUUGAAGUCGGAAUCGCUAGUAAUCGCAGGUCAGCAUACUGCGGUGAAUACGUUCCCGGGCCUU